AGUCAUGCAAAGAUUCUCUCUGGGCUGUUAGCUGUUUUGAGUUGAGAAUCUGUAGUUCUGGUAAACUGGGCUGAAGAAUCAGCUGUGACUAACGAGAGACCAGAACCCGUGGUUUUGCUGGGACAGUAGAUGUUGGUCAGCUGGGCCCGGAGACUCAGCUGUGAUUGAGACAGGAGCUUCACUCGGGUGAAGUCUGGGAAGUGUGUGCUCAGAGUCAGCCCAACUCAGUAGUGACCCAGGUGGUACCAGUUUUGGAGGCGUGAAAGGGUCAAGGAACGCAGCAAGGCUUGGCACAUAAGGCGGGGCUGGAUGGCUAAGGAGAGCCCAGUAGAGGCUUUGCUGAAAGUGCAACCGGUUGCAGUAAGAGAUGCCAGCACCAUGGGAUGACCACCAAGAACAGCAGAAGCAGUGGAGUGGAGGCAGCCCAGUGUCAUGAGACGAGCUGUGUGAGCUGCAGAGGGCAGACCAGAGACGUGACCCAGACCCCAGGGAGGAGCCUAGAAUAUGGAGAGCCCCAGGAUUUUUACAUAGAGAAAGGAAAGAAGAUAUGAAGAAAGCAAGAGGUGCUGAAAACCCCUUGGGAAGCCAAACCUUCCGCCUCCUGCGUCUGAAGGAAGAACCCUGAAAGUACAGAGGCAGAGACAGUUGGGAAACAUGGCAGCAGAGCACUGGGAGACGGCGUCUUUAACCCCCCCCCCCCCACAGGAAGCAGAGUGAGACAGCUGGAAUGGAGGGAGACUAUGGACCCACAAGGCCAACUCGCAGGGAUGUACUUCCUGUAGCAAAGGUGAGCCAAGUGCCCCAAGCAGCACCACCACCCUCUGAGGACCAAGUGUUUAGAUACCAGAUACCGGAGCCUACGGGACACAUUCACCUUUCAAACCACAACCAUCUUGCAACUGAGGAAAGAUGUUAAGAAAGUGAUCUCAGCUCAGAUCAGCGCGGAUUUAUAAGGCUAGUA
Mesocricetus auratus (golden hamster) is the source of this 961-nucleotide long non-coding RNA. RefSeq lists it as uncharacterized. The record is from RefSeq and is a predicted model, not a curated record. The transcript has 4 exons. NCBI's taxonomy places the organism in Eukaryota, Metazoa, Chordata, Mammalia, Rodentia, Cricetidae.